RNAcentral lists this long non-coding RNA (866 nucleotides) under Carica papaya (papaya). Its description in RNAcentral is "long non-coding RNA (CPAP_LNC015263)". Lineage: Eukaryota; Viridiplantae; Streptophyta; Magnoliopsida; Brassicales; Caricaceae. The record is from RNAcentral.
GGGCCAACUCGGCCAAUUUUGAAAUUCUGGCAUGGCGACUCCGUCGUGCUCCGGCAACGGCGUCGCCGCGAUCCACCUCGAGUUGGCUGUUUUCGACUGAAUUCAGCCAAACUUGUAUCGGUUCCUGUGAGAAAACACACUUAGGGCCCCUGGUGGGCCAAAAAAAUACGAAAAAUUGAAACUUAUCGGCAUAGGGGCUCUUUGGUGCGGCGGCUCUUCCAGCUGACAUCGCAAUUGGGUGUUUUACUCCGGUCAACCUAUAGAGGAGGAAACGGUGAUCAUAACAGUGGAAAAAUCACAUCGAACGGAAAUCGAGAAGGGCCUCAUUGGAGGCAAAAAUCGAGACACCUCGCGGCGGCACCGCUGAGCUUCAAUGGUAUUUUUCGGUUAAUUGGCCAGUACUUUUGCUCCGAUUUGGCCAUAGGUGGAUUUAGAAUCAAAUUCUGAGCAAAGAGUAGAAUUUUUACCUUGUUUGGCGGUCAGAAAUUGCUCCGGUACGGCGGCGAGUGGUGGCGUUCGGCUCCCCGGCGGCUGGAUUGUCUUCUCCGGCGAUGGGCUCUGGCGGCUAGGGUUAGGGUUUGGGUGCGGAUGAGAUCAUUUAUACCCAUCCGCUUUUGAUCUAAGCUGUUCAUCGCUUUUAAUUUGGACCGUCCGAUCGCGAUUAAAUAGGGAAUGAAUCUGGACCGUUCAUCACGAUUCAAUCUGGGCCGUUCGUGGGCGAUUCAAUUUGGGCUGUCCGUGCGCGAUGCAAUCUGGGCCGUCCAUGCACGCGGGAACGAAUCUCAGCCUUUCGAUCGUGCGCACGCAGAUCACCCACGUGGUUCCCUCCCGUAUGGCCUCCUGUAUUAGUGUUUCUGCCACCUGGU